AUACGGAGGGUGCAAGCGUUGUUCGGAAUUAUUGGGCGUAAAGCGCGUGUAGGCGGUCUUUUAAGUCUGAUGUGAAAGCCCCGGGCUCAACCUGGGAAGUGCAUUGGAAACUGGGAGGCUUGAGUACGGGAGAGGAGAGUGGAAUUCCUAGUGUAGGAGUGAAAUCCGUAGAUAUUAGGAGGAACACCGGUGGCGAAGGCGGCUGCCUGGACCGAUAUUGACGCUGAGACGCGAAAGCGUGGGUAGC
This 247-nucleotide ribosomal RNA is filed under the name uncultured bacterium. RNAcentral describes it as "partial 16S ribosomal RNA". It matches the Rfam family "Bacterial small subunit ribosomal RNA", at positions 523 to 769 of the family's 1533-position model. The record is from RNAcentral.